GGUGGCGGUGGGGAUCGAUCGCGCGAUGCACGCGUGCGAGACGAGAGCGCUAACCACUACACCAUUCGAAAC
Molecule: non-coding RNA, 72 nt
Organism: Oesophagostomum dentatum (nodular worm)
Lineage: Eukaryota; Metazoa; Nematoda; Chromadorea; Rhabditida; Strongylidae
Source: the annotation of a GenBank genome assembly